AUUGAACGCUGGCGGAAUGCUUUACACAUGCAAGUCGAGCGGCAGCGCGGGGCAACCUGGCGGCGAGCGGCGAACGGGUGCGUAAUACAUCGGAACAUGUCCAGUCGUGGGGGAUAACCUGGCGAAAGCCAGGCUAAUACCGCAUGCGCUCGGGAGAGGAAAGCGGGGGACCUGGCAACGGGCCUCGCGCGCUUGGGUUGGUCGAUGUCCGAUUAGCUAGUUGGUGAGGUAAAGGCUCACCAAGGCGAUGAUCGGUAGCUGGUCUGAGAGGAUGAUCAGCCACACUGGGACUGAGACACGGCCCAGACUCCUACGGGAGGCAGCAGUGGGGAAUUUUGGACAAUGGGGGCAACCCUGAUCCAGCCAUUCCGCGUGAGUGAAGAAGGCCUUCGGGUUGUAAAGCUCUUUUGUCCGGAGCGAAACGGUGCAGGCGAAUAGUCUGCGCUACUGACGGUACCGGAAGAAUAAGCACCGGCUAACUACGUGCCAGCAGCCGCGGUAA
This 502-nucleotide ribosomal RNA is filed under the name uncultured bacterium. Its description in RNAcentral is "partial 16S ribosomal RNA". It matches the Rfam family "Bacterial small subunit ribosomal RNA", at positions 29 to 523 of the family's 1533-position model. The record is from RNAcentral.